AUUGAACGCUGGCGGCAGGCCUAACACAUGCAAGUCGAGCGGAGCGGCGGACGGGAGAGUAAUGCCUAGGAAUCUGCCUGGGCGUGGGGGAUAACGUCCGGAAACGGGGGCUAAUACCGCAUACUAUCAGAUGAGCCUAGGUCGGCUUAGCUAGUUGGUGGGGUAAAGGCCUACCAAGGUGACGAUCAGUAAAUGGGCGGAGAGGAUGAUCAGUCACAAUGGAACUGAGACACGGUCCAGACUCCUACGGGAGGCAGCAGUGGGGAAUAUUGGACAAUGGGCGAAAGUCUGAUCCAGCCAUGCCGCGUGAGUGAAGAAGGUCUUCGGAUUGUAAAGCACUUUAAGUUGGGAAGCGUUACCAACAGAGUAAGCACCGGCUAACUUCGUGCCAGCAGCCGCGGUAAUAC
RNAcentral lists this ribosomal RNA (407 nucleotides) under uncultured bacterium. Its description in RNAcentral is "partial 16S ribosomal RNA". It matches the Rfam family "Bacterial small subunit ribosomal RNA", at positions 30 to 526 of the family's 1533-position model. The record is from RNAcentral.